Small nuclear RNA from Ochotona princeps (American pika), 134 nucleotides. Lineage: Eukaryota; Metazoa; Chordata; Mammalia; Lagomorpha; Ochotonidae. The record is from Ensembl.
UAAAAGGGCUUGUGUCGUGCGUGGCACACGGAGAGCGGCUCUGUUUGCUCUUUGGGCAGAAUCCACAUCAAGACAUUUGGGAAGCAUCAAUUUUCGACUCCUGGCCAUCUGAUGAUCCUUGGUCCGGGGUCCGG